UAAGAUGUCCUGGUUAUCUUUGGUUU
RNAcentral lists this non-coding RNA (26 nucleotides) under Mus musculus (house mouse). Lineage: Eukaryota; Metazoa; Chordata; Mammalia; Rodentia; Muridae. The record is from RNAcentral.